GGGGAUGUAGCUCAGCUGGGAGAGCGCCUGCUUUGCAAGCAAGAGGUCAGGGGUUCGAGCCCCCUCAUCUCCA
This 73-nucleotide transfer RNA is filed under the name Thermoflexales bacterium. RNAcentral describes it as "tRNA-Ala". It matches the Rfam family "tRNA". From Rfam's summary of the family: Transfer RNA (tRNA) molecules are approximately 80 nucleotides in length. Their secondary structure includes four short double-helical elements and three loops (D, anti-codon, and T loops). Further hydrogen bonds mediate the characteristic L-shaped molecular structure. tRNAs have two regions of fundamental functional importance: the anti-codon, which is responsible for specific mRNA codon recognition, and the 3' end, to which the tRNAs corresponding amino acid is attached (by aminoacyl-tRNA synthetases). tRNAs cope with the degeneracy of the genetic code in two manners: having more than one tRNA (with a specific anti-codon) for a particular amino acid; and 'wobble' base-pairing, i.e. permitting non-standard base-pairing at the 3rd anti-codon position. Lineage: Bacteria; Bacillati; Chloroflexota; Thermoflexia; Thermoflexales. The record is from RNAcentral. RNAcentral also lists the same sequence under 1 other name.